UCGCUACUACCGAUUGAAUGGCUCGGUGAGGCCUUCGGACUGGCCCAGGGAGGUCGGCAACGACCACCCAGGGCCGGAAAGUUGGUCAAACCCGGUCAUUUAGAGGAAGUAAAAGUCGUAACAAGGUCUCCGUAGGUGAACCUGCGGAGGGAUCAUU
This 157-nucleotide ribosomal RNA is filed under the name Cladosporium sphaerospermum. RNAcentral's name for it is "partial 18S ribosomal RNA". It matches the Rfam family "Eukaryotic small subunit ribosomal RNA", at positions 1676 to 1830 of the family's 1831-position model. The record is from RNAcentral. Lineage: Eukaryota; Fungi; Ascomycota; Dothideomycetes; Cladosporiales; Cladosporiaceae.